Molecule: ribosomal RNA, 152 nt
Filed under: Ctenophora environmental sample
Lineage: Eukaryota; Metazoa; Ctenophora
Description: partial Eukaryotic large subunit ribosomal RNA
Rfam family: Eukaryotic large subunit ribosomal RNA
Source: RNAcentral
UCCCUCAUGAGCAGACCGUACCGAUAACCGCAUCCGGACUCCGAGGUGAAUAGCCUCUGGUCAAUGGGGCAAUGUGACCAAGGGAAGUCGGCAAAAUAGAUGCGUAACUUCGGGAGAAGCAUUGGCUCCAAGGGCUGGAUGUCCGAAAGCUG